CCUGGCGGCGAUAGCGCGGUGGUCCCACCUGACCCCAUGCCGAACUCAGAAGUGAAACGCCGUAGCGCCGAUGGNNGUAGCGCCGAUGGUAGUGUGGGGUCUCCCCAUGUGAGAGUAGGGAACUGCCAGGC
RNAcentral lists this ribosomal RNA (131 nucleotides) under Klebsiella aerogenes. Lineage: Bacteria; Pseudomonadati; Pseudomonadota; Gammaproteobacteria; Enterobacterales; Enterobacteriaceae. The record is from RNAcentral.